RNAcentral lists this ribosomal RNA (497 nucleotides) under uncultured bacterium. RNAcentral describes it as "partial 16S ribosomal RNA". It matches the Rfam family "Bacterial small subunit ribosomal RNA", at positions 28 to 507 of the family's 1533-position model. The record is from RNAcentral.
GAUGAACGCUGGCGGCGUGCCUAAUACAUGCAAGUCGAGCGAACGGACGAGAAGCUUGCUUCUCUGAUGUUAGCGGCGGACGGGUGAGUAACACGUGGAUAACCUACCUAUAAGACUGGGAUAACUUCGGGAAACCGUAGCUAAUACCGGAUAAUAUUUUGAACCGCAUGGUUCAAAAGUGAAAGACGGUCUUGCUGUCACUUAUAGAUGGAUCCGCGCUGCAUUAGCUAGUUGGUAAGGUAACGGCUUACCAAGGCAACGAUGCAUAGCCGACCUGAGAGGGUGAUCGGCCACACGGGAACUGAGACACGGUCCAGACUCCUACGGGAGGGAGCAGUAGGGAAUCUUGCGCAAUGGGCGAAAGCCUGACGGAGCAACGCCGCGUGAGUGAUGAAGGUCUUCGGAUCGUAAAACUCUGUUAUUAGGGAAGAACAUAUGUGUAAGUAACUGUGCACAUCUUGACGGUACCUAAUCAGAAAGCCACGGCUAACUACGUG